This 464-nucleotide ribosomal RNA is filed under the name uncultured bacterium. Its description in RNAcentral is "partial 16S ribosomal RNA". It matches the Rfam family "Bacterial small subunit ribosomal RNA", at positions 28 to 507 of the family's 1533-position model. The record is from RNAcentral.
GACGAACGCUGGCGGCGUGCCUAACAAAUGCAAGUCGAGCGAAUGAAGUUCCUUCGGGAAUGGAUUUAGCGGCGGACGGGUGAGUAACACGUGGGCAACCUGCCUCAUAGAGGGGAAUAGCCUCCCGAAAGGGAGAUUAAUACCGCAUAAGAUUGUAGUACCGCAUGAUACAGCAAUUAAAGGAGCAAUCCGCUAUGAGAUGGGCCCGCGGCGCAUUAGCUAGUUGGUGAGGUAAUGGCUCACCAAGGCGACGAUGCGUAGCCGACCUGAGAGGGUGAUCGGCCACAUUGGGACUGAGACACGGCCCAGACUCCUACGGGAGGCAGCAGUGGGGAAUAUUGCACAAUGGGGGAAACCCUGAUGCAGCAACGCCGCGUGAGUGAUGACGGCCUUCGGGUUGUAAAGCUCUGUCUUCAGGGACGAUAAUGACGGUACCUGAGGAGGAAGCCACGGCUAACUACGUG